AAAAGCCUCUGAACAAAGUUUCAGAGGCUUUUUUUUCUGAAGCUCUGUUUCGGAGGCUUUCAGAGGCAGAAAAAAAAAGCAACAGCUGAUUGGGGGUAUCCCGGGAGGCCGAUCCACCCGCCAGUCAGCUUUUUUCUUCUUUCCCUCCCCAAAAACUAAGAUGCGUCUUAUACUCCCAAAAAUACGGUGUAUCCGUUGAACUCAUGGCAAGCUGUUAGCCCACACUUCCAGGGAGCGUCAGGAUGGAGAAAAUUGCUUUUGACGAAGCCCCGUGGAUUAAUUUAGCCGCUUCAAAGUGAGGCUCUAUGGGUGCUCUGGGCCUCCCCAAAAGCCCCUCUGGCUGGAAAUUCCAGAAAUUGGUGUCCCAACAGGAAAGUCCUCAGGUUGUGAAAGCUUAGAUGUGCAUAGAGGUAAGGUAAAAGUGCCUCUUCUUUUCACUCGGUGUGUAUGUGUGACUGUGCCAUUUCCAAUCCACGAUGUUACCCGCUAAUUCCAGGCAGUCCUAGACUUACAAACAUCCAAAGUUACAACAGCAACAGAAAAAAAACCACUUACCGUCUUAAAAGCAACCUUUAAUUGGGUGGAUUGCCGACUCUCAGGCUUACGACCGUUUUUUUCACGUUGAUGUCCAUUGCAGCAUUAACCCAGAGUCACGUGAUCGAAAUUUGGACACUGGGCAACCAAGCCUGUAUUUAUGACUGUUGCACCGUUCUGGGGGUCCCAUGGUCGCCGCUUGUGACCUUCCCAUCCAUCUUCCGACAAGCAAAGAGGGGAAAGUUGGAUUCACUUAACGACCACCCGAUUCAUUUAACGGCCACAGCGAUUUGCUUAAUAUCGGUGGCCAAAAUGGUUGUGAAAUGACGUGCCAACUCACAACCGUUGCCGUACUUUGGGGCUCAGUUGUGGUUGUAAGUCAAGGACUGCCUGCAAAGGCCUUGCUCAGUUAGUACAUUCGCCUACUCAUGCCAGGCUCCAAAUCCUACCUCCAAAUCUUCCUCCAACUCUUAAUUUGCAAAGAAGUUGGACACCCCUCGUAUAAGGGAUGCUUUGCAGAUCUUUUAAUCUCUAACCACUCCAGCUGCUAAAUUCCAGCUUUUCCUCCUGGGAAUUUUCCUAGCUGUGCUCCGUGGGAUGUUCAGAGCAAGCAAGCUGGUUACUCAUCCAAUCUACCUUUUUUUUUUUUUUUGCUAGUAUUUUGCCAGGUCUGCCUUCCAGGAACAAUUAGCUACGAUUAGACGAACUUUUACAAGCUGCCUAAUCCUUCGCUUUCUUGGCCAAAGAGCCAUCAAUCUUCUAGAGCUGCUCUUAUUUAUUUUUAUUUUUAUUUUUAAAAAAAGCGGUGGUGGUUGUACAUUAUUCAGCGGCCGGCUUCUCGGCAAGUCUUCCGUUUGGAAUCGUGCAACGUUACACCUAGCAUGAGAAGAGUUUCCUCCUGAAAUCCCAGCCCCUUAAUGUGGUGGGAAGAAUAUACAUUGCACUGAAUUUAUGCUGAAACAGCACAAAGUAUAUAUAUAUAAUGUUAAUCACAUGCCUUAACAAUACACCGGUGUUAAUUUUUUUUUUAAAGCGAAAUGCACUACUUAACAUGGAGGUAUUAAAUUCUUCUCUUUGGCCUCACUAAAUUGCUAUUUCUAUUCCUGGGCUGAAAGAGUUGGAUUUUGGAGGCUUGCUAAUUUCUCCUUACGUCCCCUCCGUCCCCAAAAACAGUUACUCUUAAGACAAGACGAAAUAUUGCAUAUCUUUUUAUCAUUUCGACCCCCUAAUUUACUACUAAAAUACCAGACGUUAAGCCCUGGAAUCAAUACUAGGAAGAAUGCAGCUAGUCCUCGACUUACAACCAUUAAUUUAAAGCAGGCGUCACCAACCUUUCAGACUUCGGGGACCACUAAAUUCAUAAUUUUAAAUCCCAUGGACCAGUAAUAUGUCUUUUUUAAAAAAGAUAAAUGGUAUUUAGUGCAAUAUAAAAAAAUGCAAAUAAUUUUUCUGCAGACCACCAAAAUUUUCCCAAAGGCCACCCGUGGUCCACGGGCCACUGGUUGGUGACACUGAUUUAGAGACCGUCCGAAGUUAUGACGGUCCUGAAAAGUGACUGAUGACCGUUUUUCACACUUAACGACCGUUACAGCAUCCUCGCGGUCCCGUGAUCAAAAUACAGACCAGGCUUGGCCACUGACUCAUAUUUAUGACGGUCCCGGGGUCACGCGAUCCCCUUUUAUGACCUUCUGAUGAGGAAAGUCAACGGGGGGGAGCCAGAUUCGCUUAACAACCGCGCGUGACUCGCUUAAACAGCCCCAGCGAUUCGCUUAACAAACGCGGCAAGAAAAGUCGCGUAAAACGGGGCAAAAAACUCACUUAACAACCGUCUUGCUUUAGCAACCGAAAUCGUGGGCUCAAUUUUGGUUGUAAGUCGAGGACUACCUGUACGAUGUUGUAUGCCAUAACAAUGCAUUAGUGUGCGUGUUUUUUUUAAAUAAAAAUAAAAAUAAAAUGCACUACUUAGCUGGGAAGUAUGAAAUUCUUCUAUCUGGCCUCACUAAAUUGUCAUUUGCAUUCCUUGAGAGAAAGGGUUCAGUUUUUGAAGCUUGCCAAUUUCUCCCUACAACUAUUCUGCCCCCCCCCCAAAUUCUUAAAGACAAGAGGAAAUAUUGCUUAUCUUCUAUAAUUUGGACACCCCUCUCUAAUUUGCUCUCAAAUAUCAGACCCUGGGAUGGCCUAGCUAGGAAGGGUACAGACUUAACGACCGUUCAAAGUUAAAGCGGCACUGAAAAAGUUAUUUUUGACCGCUUUUCACACUUAACGGCCGUUUUAGCAUUCCCCCAUGGUCACGUGAUCAAAACUGAAAUGCUUGGCAACUGGCAUGUACUUAUGACGGUUGCGUUGUGUUCUGUUGAUUCACCUUUUUGGGACUUUCUGACUUGGCCAAGUCAAAUGGGGAAGACCGAUUCAUUUAACGACCGUGAACAAAACGUACCCCAAAUUUGAAAUUUGCUGGGUGAAUCGAAAAGAAGGGCUCGCGAUUUCUGGGAAUUGGUUUUGCAAAAUUGGAUCCUUCCCCCCCUUUUGAGUGUGAUUCAUUAUUAUUAUUAUUUUUUAAUUAGCCGAAUCCCAGCCCUUCCAGGUAGGCCAAGUCAGGAAAACAACAAGUGAUGUGGCUACAGUGACCUGAUCUUAAAAUAUUUUCUUUCCUUCCUCGUAUAUACAAAGGAAAAUCAAGGCCCUGCAAUCUUGAGUUUCUUUCUAAUGUCCUCUUUUUAUCCUGGCCUUAAAUCAUGUUUUGCUAACUGGCUACAGUUCUUCUCCCAACAUCAAAAUUUGAUCGUUGGGUCCCUGCUAAGGUAUAAUCGUUUGAUUGGAUGAGAGGGAAAAUCCAAUCAAUUGUGGCUGAUGCAAUAAACCAUGGUUAAACUAACCACAAUCUAGCUUCCCUUCUUCCCCUGCCCUUGUUUAACACGGCUCCUUACUUCCAAAACUUUUUUGAGAAUCUGUUCGGUACCUAGCAUUACUCCACUGGAUUCCUUUCAGUGGUGUUUCAUUAAAAUAAUGUCAGCAGCAACAACAAAUUAUUUGAGAAUCGGGGGAAAAAGUAUCUUGCAGAUGCUUUAAACCAAGAUGGAACAUCUCGGCUUACAAAGACCGCAGAGAUUGGAGCCUGGUUCAUUUGUUUGGCUGAAUUGCUUACAUUGCUCCGUGUUCCCUCCGUACUUAACUCCAAAUGUUUAAGGAUUCUGCACCUAGGAGUACCAAGCUGCAGUUGGAAAUCAAGAACAUUUGACUAUUUGGUAUUAUGGUUUUGGUGGAAACCUGACUACAUUUCCUGGGUGGCCAUCAGACCAUAAAAAACACCAAGGAGCUCCAAGAUCCGUGAUGGCGAAUCUAUGGCACGCGUGCCACAAGUGACACGUGGAGCCAUAUCUGUGGUCACGCAAGCCUCGCCCUAGCUCAGCUCCAGCACGCAUGUGCGUGCCGGCCACCUGAUUUUUGGCUGUUCCGGGCCCACUGGAAGUUGGGAAACAGGCCGUUUCCGGCCUCCAGAGGUCCUCUUGGGGAUGGGGAAGGCAGUUUUCGCCCUCCCCAGCCUCCAAGAAAGUCUCUGGAGCCUGGGGAGGGCGAAAAACGGGCCUACCAGGCCCACCGUGCCAUCAUGUGCCAAAAGCGCGGGGGGGGGAGCGCAUGCAUGCACACACAGGGGCGGGGUGUAUUAUGGGUGUGGGCAUGCACGCACGCAAACCCCCCAUGUUCCCCCCAUUUUUGGCCCACAACGGCCAAAAGCUUAGCCAUCACUGUCUUAGACAGGCCUGAAUUCAGUGUUUCUCAACCUCAGAACUUGAAGCUGGGUGGACUUCAACUCCCAGAAUUCCCAUUUUUGCCCACUAGAGGCGGAUCUCCCGCCUCACCAUCAGGAGGCCGUGAGUUCGAUCCUAGGUAGAGGCGGAUAUUUGUCUCUCUCUCUCUCUCUGGGCCACACUGAGAAUCUAUCUGCUGAACAAAACUCCACUCUGGAACAGGAAGGGCAUCCGGCCAAUAAAACACUCUGCUAGCUUCAGUCAGUGGCCCAGACUCCCCCCCCCACCGCAAGGGAUUAUGGGGUCGUUAAACGGAGAUGAUGAUGACAUGUAAAAGAUGAAAUAGAAAAAAAUGUUCCUCGGUGCUCCACUUGGUUCUGCCAGAUGUUCUCCGAGGCCCCAACCAGAUGUUCAGAGAAAGACUUCACCUAUGCAGCCUUGACCCUUGGCUCCUGCGAUGAGGCAGACCCUCCAAACCCGGUUAAAUAUAUCCUUGCCUGUUUCUGUUUAAUUCGAAUUUCAUUUCUAAGCUUCUAAAUUGUAACCUGUCUCGGAGGACACUUAACUACCUUCUAACUAGCAUUAUUUUGGGGGGGGAAACUUUAAUGCACUGAUUCUGAAAUGCUUUACUUUGAAAUGUUGAGUGUGGACUCAGCCUGCCAAAAGGAAUAAGUGAUAUCUUUUUAUAUUAUUAUUAUUAUUAUUAUUGUUAUUAUUAUGGAAAGCAACCAAACCAAAUGGUUUUGAUUUAAUCUAGGGUUGGGGAUUUUUUUUUUGUUUUUCUUCUCCUAUUUUACAGGUAAAUUUACCGCGGCUGAAUUAUGGAAACAGCCGCUAACUGUAUAUAAAGACCAAUGUAAUAAAUAACGUCGAAGCAUUUUGAUAUCUAUUGAAAUACGUCUAAUGGGGUUCGUUUGUCUCACCCGUAUCUCUAGAUAACAAGAUACAUAAAGGCAAUCUAUAAUGGCUUAUUGAAGAAUAAUGUAUUUAAUCCAUUUAUUCUUAAAGCACUAAUUAAUGAAUUUAUAGCUAAUCCAUACCAUUAAAGGACUUUUGUUUUGUAAUUAAAA
Pantherophis guttatus is the source of this 5353-nucleotide non-coding RNA. NCBI's taxonomy places the organism in Eukaryota, Metazoa, Chordata, Lepidosauria, Squamata, Colubridae. The record is from RefSeq and is a predicted model, not a curated record.